Molecule: long non-coding RNA, 542 nt
Filed under: Ursus americanus (American black bear)
Lineage: Eukaryota; Metazoa; Chordata; Mammalia; Carnivora; Ursidae
Description: lncRNA (ENSUAMG00000021493.1)
Source: RNAcentral
GGAAGAGAAGCCAUUCUGUUGGGUUUUCCACAUACUGUCUUCAGAAUACCAGUGCCUCUGGAUGCCGCUGUGGUUUGGGGAGACAGCCACCUGAAGAUAUUAAACGCAAUGAGGCAAGAUUUUACAUAAUUUCCGUUUCUCUCCUUUAGGAAAAGCAAAGCCUUUUCUCCUGAUUCACCAAAUUAACACUGACCACCAUCGUCACUAAUGAAGUUCCUAUGGUCUCAGGAACGGAAGUCGUGGAACAGUCAGGGGCCUGGGCCCCUAGAGUGAAGAGGCCAUGUCAGGAGCUCCCUGUGUUAGGCCUGGGAGGUUUGAAGAAUAUGUACAUUGAAGACAGAAAUACACGACACAGGGUUGGGCCAGUUUGAAGGAGCUCGGAAUUUGGUGCCACAGAUGUCCAGAAGGAUACUUCCAGCUGUGUCCAGAUGAGCAGGAAGAAGGCACAGACUCACCGUCAGAUGCUGGUGGUGUCGUGCUCACAGAUCAGUGCUCCCUACCAGGAGGGACGUGACCAGGACCUGGCUUCUGCCUAGACCAGG